Molecule: ribosomal RNA, 482 nt
Filed under: uncultured bacterium
Lineage: Bacteria
Description: partial 16S ribosomal RNA
Rfam family: Bacterial small subunit ribosomal RNA
Source: RNAcentral
GACGAACGCUGGCGGCGUGCUUAACACAUGCAAGUCGAACGAUGAAACCUAGCUUGCUAGGUCGAUUAGUGGCGAACGGGUGAGUAACACGUGACUAACCUGCCCCUUUCUCUGGGAUAACGCUCCGAAAGGAGUGCUAAUACCGGAUACUCACACCUAGGCACAUGCCUUGGGGUGGAAAGUUUUUCGGAAAGGGAUGGAGUCGCGGCCUAUCAGCUUGUUGGUGAGGUAACGGCUCACCAAGGCGACGACGGGUAGCCGGCCUGAGAGGGCGACCGGCCACACUGGGACUGAGACACGGCCCAGACUCCUACGGGAGGCAGCAGUGGGGAAUAUUGCACAAUGGGCGCAAGCCUGAUGCAGCGACGCCGCGUGAGGGAUGAAGGUCUUCGGAUUGUAAACCUCUUUCAGUAGGGACGAAGCGAAAGUGACGGUACCUAAAGAAGAAGCACCGGCUAACUACGUGCCAGCCGCCGCGGUAA